This 212-nucleotide long non-coding RNA is filed under the name Elaeis guineensis (African oil palm). RNAcentral describes it as "long non-coding RNA (EGUI_LNC076054)". The record is from RNAcentral. Lineage: Eukaryota; Viridiplantae; Streptophyta; Magnoliopsida; Arecales; Arecaceae.
CCCAUCCAAAAAUCCAAAAAGUCUAAUCAUAUUUUCUUCAUGAUUGUCCCUGAUUUGGUUAAUCCAAAUUUAAAAUAUUUUAAUAAAAUUUUAAAAUAUAAAUAUUUAAAAAUCAAUAGAAUAUAUUUAAAAAAAUAAAAGAUAUUAAUACAGAUUUGAUCAAAAUUAAUAUUCAUGUAGUACAGGAACAAAGAGAGAUGAAGGAUAAAUCC